GACGAACGCUGGCGGCGUGCUUAACACAUGCAAGUCGAACGGAAAGGCCCUGCUUGCAGGGUACUCGAGUGGCGAACGGGUGAGUAACACGUGGGUGUUCUGCCCUGCACUUCGGGAUAAGCCUGGGAAACUGGGUCUAAUACCGGAUAGGAGCCAUUUUUAGUGUGAUGGUUGGAAAGUUUUUUCGGUGUAGGAUGAGCUCGCGGCCUAUCAGGUUGUUGGUGGGGUAAUGGCCUACCAAGGCGGCGACGGGUAGCCGGCCUGAGAGGGUGGACGGCCACAUUGGGACUGAGAUACGGCCCAGACUCCUACGGGGGGCAGCAGUGGGGAAUAUUGCACAAUGGGCGCAAGCCUGAUGCAGCGACGCCGCGGGGGGGAUGACGGCCUUCGGGUUGGAAACUCCUUUCGCUAGGGACGAAGCUUUUUGUGACGGUACCUAGAUAAGAAGCACCGGCUAACUACGUG
RNAcentral lists this ribosomal RNA (465 nucleotides) under uncultured bacterium. RNAcentral's name for it is "partial 16S ribosomal RNA". It matches the Rfam family "Bacterial small subunit ribosomal RNA", at positions 28 to 507 of the family's 1533-position model. The record is from RNAcentral.